RNAcentral lists this ribosomal RNA (1246 nucleotides) under metagenome. Its description in RNAcentral is "bacterial LSU rRNA". It matches the Rfam family "Bacterial large subunit ribosomal RNA", at positions 1564 to 2819 of the family's 2925-position model. The record is from RNAcentral.
UGAGUACGAGAUGCUACGGCAUCGAAGCAGUCUAUGUCAUACUUCCAAGAAAAGCUUGCAAUGUCAUAAACAAAUAAUGCCUGUACCAUAACCGACACAGGUGGGUAGGUAGAGUAUACUAAGGGGCGCGAGAUAACUCUCUCUAAGGAACUCGGCAAAAUGACUCCGUAACUUCGGGAGAAGGAGUGCCUUAUUUUUAUAAGGUUGCAAUAACAAGAUCCAAGCAACUGUUUACCAAAAACACAGGUCUCCGCUAAGUCGUAAGACGAUGUAUGGGGGCUGACGCCUGCCCAGUGCCAGAAGGUUAAGAAGUUGGUUAGCAUUAGCGAAGCUGAUAACUGAAGCCCUGGUGAACGGCGGCCGUAACGAUAACGGUCCUAAGGUAGCGAAAUUCCUUGUCGGGUAAGUUCCGACCCGCACGAAAGGCGUAAUGAUUUGGAUACUGUCUCGGAGAGGGGCUCGGUGAAAUAGACUUGUCUGUGAAGAUGCGGACUACCUGCACCUGGACAGAAAGACCCUAUGAAGCUUUACUGUAACUUGAGAUUGAAAUUGGACUUUAUCUGCGCAGUAUAGGUGGGAGACGUUGAAAAUAUUCUUGCGGGAAUAUUGGAGUCAUCAGUGAGAUACCACUCUUAUAAUGUUAGAUUUCUAACUUUGUAUCAUUAUCUGGUCAAAGAACAGUUUCAGGCGGGCAGUUUGACUGGGGCGGUCGCCUCCCAAACGGUAACGGAGGCGCACAAAGGUUUCCUCUGAACGUGUAGAAAUCGUAUCUAGAGUGUAAAGGCAUAAGGAAGCUUGACUGUGAGACCUACAAGUCGAGCAGGGACGAAAGUCGGUCUUAGUGAUCUGACGGUGCUGAGUGGAAAGGCCGUCACUCAACGGAUAAAAGUUACUCUAAGGAUAACAGGCUGAUCUCCCCCAAGAGUUCACAUCAACGGGGAGGUUUGGCACCUCGAUGUCGGCUCAUCGCAUCCUGGGGCGGUAGUACGUCCCAAGGGUUGGGCUGUUCGCCCAUGAAAGCGGUACGCGAGCUGGGUUCAGAACGUCGUGAGACAGUUCGGUCCAUAUCCGGUGUAGGCGUUAGAAUAUUGAGAGGAGCCUUCUUUAGUACAGAGGACCGAGAAGGACAUACCUCUGGUGCACCAGUUAUCGUGCCAACGGUAAACGCUGGGUAGCCAUGUAUGGAGAGGAUAACCGCUGAAAGCAUCUAAGUGGGAAGCCCACCUCAAGAUAAGUAUUCCCAAAG